GACGAACGCUGGCGGCGUGCUUAACACAUGCAAGUCGAACGGAAAGGCCCUGCUUUUGUGGGGUGCUCGAGUGGCGAACGGGUGAGUAACACGCGAGUAACCUGCCCUUGACUUUGGGAUAACUUCAGGAAACUGGGGCUAAUACCGGAUAGGAGCUCCUGCUGCAUGGUGGGGGUUGGAAAGUUUCGGCGGUUGGGGAUGGACUCGCGGCUUAUCAGCUUGUUGGUGGGGUAGUGGCUUACCAAGGCUUUGACGGGUAGCCGGCCUGAGAGGGUGACCGGCCACAUUGGGACUGAGAGACGGCCCAGACGCCUACGGGAGGCAGCAGUGGGGAAUAUUGCAGAAUGGGCGGAAGCCUGAUGCAGCGACGCCGCGUGCGGGAUGACGGCCUUCGAGUUGUAAACCGCUUUCGCCUGUGACGAAGCGUGAGUGACGGUAAUGGGUAAGGAAGCACCGGCUAACUACGUG
RNAcentral lists this ribosomal RNA (468 nucleotides) under uncultured bacterium. RNAcentral's name for it is "partial 16S ribosomal RNA". It matches the Rfam family "Bacterial small subunit ribosomal RNA", at positions 28 to 507 of the family's 1533-position model. The record is from RNAcentral.